GUAGGUGGCAAGCGUUGUCCGGAAUUAUUGGGGCGUAAAGCGCGCGCAGGGCGGUCCUUUAAAGUCUGAUGUGAAAGCCCACGGCUCAACCGUGGAGGGUCAUUGGAAACUGGGGGACUUGAGUACAGAAGAGGAAAGCGGAAUUCCAAGUGUAGCGGUGAAAUGCGUAGAGAUUUGGAGGAACACCAGUGGCGAAGGCGGCUUUCUGGUCUGUAACUGACGCUGAGGCGCGAAAGCGUGGGGAGCAAACAGGAUUAGAUACCCUGGUAGUCCACGCCGUAAACGAUGAGUGCUAAGUGUUAGGGGGUUUCCGCCCCUUAGUGCUGCAGCUAACGCAUUAAGCACUCCGCCUGGGGAGUACGGCCGCAAGGCUG
Molecule: ribosomal RNA, 374 nt
Filed under: uncultured organism
Description: partial 16S ribosomal RNA
Rfam family: Bacterial small subunit ribosomal RNA
Source: RNAcentral